CCUACGGGAGGCAGCAGUGGGGAAUAUUGGACAAUGGGGGCAACCCUGAUCCAGCCAUGCCGCGUGUGUGAAGAAGGCCCUCGGGUUGUAAAGCACUUUCAGUGAGGAAGAACGCCUGGUGGUUAAUACCCAUCAGGAAAGACAUCACUCACAGAAGAAGCACCGGCUAACUCCGUGCCAGCAGCCGCGGUAAUACGGAGGGUGCGAGCGUUAAUCGGAAUUACUGGGCGUAAAGCGCGCGUAGGUGGCUUGAUAAGCCGGUUGUGAAAGCCCCGGGCUCAACCUGGGAACGGCAUCCGGAACUGUCAAGCUAGAGUGCAGGAGAGGAAGGUAGGAUUCCCGGUGUAGCGGGGAAAUGCGGAGAGAUCGGGAGGAAUACCAGUGGCGAAGGCGGCCUUCUGGACUGACACUGACACUGAGGUGCGAAAGCGUGGGUAGCAAACGGGAUUAGAUACCCGAGUAGUC
Molecule: ribosomal RNA, 465 nt
Filed under: Vreelandella stevensii
Lineage: Bacteria; Pseudomonadati; Pseudomonadota; Gammaproteobacteria; Oceanospirillales; Halomonadaceae
Description: partial 16S ribosomal RNA
Rfam family: Bacterial small subunit ribosomal RNA
Source: RNAcentral